This 871-nucleotide ribosomal RNA is filed under the name uncultured bacterium. RNAcentral describes it as "bacterial SSU rRNA". It matches the Rfam family "Bacterial small subunit ribosomal RNA", at positions 35 to 906 of the family's 1533-position model. The record is from RNAcentral.
GCGGGCGGCGUGCCUACACAUGCAAGUCGAACGAGAAAGUGGGGGCAACUCCAUGAGUAAAGUGGCAGACGGGUGAGUAACACGUGAACAACCUACCCUCGAGUGUGGAAUAACACCGCGAAAGCGGUGCUAAUACCGCAUAACAUCUUCGGGUCGCAUGAUUUGGAGAUCAAAAGCGCAAGUUGCUUGAGGAGGGGUUCGCGCCUGAUUAGCUAGUUGGUGAGGUAACGGCCCACCAAGGCAACGAUCAGUAGCCGGCCUGAGAGGGCGAACGGCCACACUGGAACUGAGACACGGUCCAGACUCCUACGGGAGGCAGCAGUGGGGAAUUUUGCGCAAUGGGCGAAAGCCUGACGCAGCAACGCCGCGUGGAGGAUGAAGGUCUUCGGAUCGUAAACUCCUGUCGAUGGGGAAGAAUGCUUCGCAAGAAGUUUGACUGUACCCGUUGAGGAAGCCACGGCUAACUCCGUGCCAGCAGCCGCGGUAAUACGGAGGUGGCAAGCGUUGUUCGGAAUUACUGGGCGUAAAGGGCGCGUAGGCGGCUUUGCAAGUCAGAUGUGAAAGCCCCGGGCUUAACUCGGGAAUUGCAUCUGAAACUGCUUAGCUUGAGUUCUGGAUGGGGUAGUGGAAUUCCCAGUGUAGCGGUGAAAUGCGUAGAUAUUGGGAGGAACACCUGCGGCGAAGGCGGCUACCUGGACAGUGACUGACGCUGAGGCGCGAAAGCUAGGGGAGCGAACGGGAUUAGAUACCCCGGUAGUCCUAGCUGUAAACGAUGGGCACUUGGUGUUGGGGGCAUUGAGUCCCUCGGUGCCGGAGUUAACACGUUAAGUGCCCCGCCUGGGGAGUACGGUUCGCAGACUGAAACUCAAAU